This is a long non-coding RNA of Harpia harpyja (harpy eagle), 502 nucleotides long. RefSeq lists it as uncharacterized. The record is from RefSeq and is a predicted model, not a curated record. Lineage: Eukaryota; Metazoa; Chordata; Aves; Accipitriformes; Accipitridae. The transcript is spliced from 3 exons.
UCUCCCCCCUCCUAAGCAUGAGACUGUUAAUUUUCUCUUUAUAUUUGUAUUUAAUUAAUUCCUGCAAAGGCUCUGACUAUAUUUUUUUGGUAUAAUUUCUUCCUUUGUCUCUCUCUCUCUCAUUGUUAAUCCUUGCAUAUUCAGUUUUUCCCCUCCCUUUUCUCCUAGAUUUGAAAUUCUAUUACCAUUUCAGAAGGCAGGCGUUUGAAGAGAAAAUUGAAUACCCGUCCAGUCUUGAUAAGAAGGGACAUUUGGUACUAACGGACUUGGUGUCUCCUGAGUCGUGUCCUGGCUCAAGACAACUGGAAAAAUGGAGCAACCACCUCCCCAGGGUCCCCUUGUUGCAGGGAGCACUUCCAGCGUCACCUUACCAGUUUGCAAGACAGGAGGAUGUGACCUGACCUGGUACCCACAGCCAGCAUCACGUCCGCAGCUCCCGGCUCUCCCUUCGGGUGGUGAGGAUGUGCCAGGGGAACGUGCAUGGAGAGCAGCAACAUCCAGG